This 1382-nucleotide long non-coding RNA is filed under the name Crocodylus porosus (Australian saltwater crocodile). RNAcentral describes it as "lncRNA (ENSCPRG00005002757.1)". Lineage: Eukaryota; Metazoa; Chordata; Crocodylia; Crocodylidae. The record is from RNAcentral.
CAGCUCAUUGGAAAAAGAUUAAAAUGGGUGGUUACUAAUGAGAUUUCUGGAGAGAAGACCAGAAUUUCAGCAAGUAAACUUGUUAUUCCUGAACUGUUGAAGGCUGCCCUUAGAGAUCCCUCCUUUUGAUCCUUUAUGUUUAAGCAUGUUACCAUGUAUACAACUAAUUUUUUCCUCUUGCAAAGUGCUUCUCUGUAAGUCCCUGACUAUAAUGGUUAGAGCUUUAGUUAUUUUUUUUCUCCAUGUCUUUUCAGCUUGUGAAUUCCUUGGUGGGAAGCUUGCCACACUCUUUGGACUCAAUGAACCUAAAUAUCAGCAUGCAAUAGAUGAAUACUAUAGGACACAGAGCAAGGAAAGUGAAGAUGAUGAAGAUGGUGAAGAGAUCUUUGAGAAAAAUGAAGUGAACUCUCUGAAUGAAAAAUGCCACCUUGAACUACAGAGCAUAGGCUAUGGAUCAGUUGGACUCAAGGACCCCAUGGAGUUUUCUCAAAGAGGCGCUUGUGCAAAUGUUAAUGAAGCUACAAAACGUGACUAUAAAGUCCAAACUCAGUCUCAGUUGCUAAGAAAUAAUGAAAAUAUUGCCACUGGGGUCUCUCUUGAUAUGCCACCUGAAAAUGACCAACAGAACAUGAAUUAAUCAUUUAUAAGCUUUUUGAGAUAACACAUACAUCCUUUUGCCCAGAUCAGUGGCAUUUCAAUCUUCAGAGGGCAACAGGAUAUAUUAAAAAAUGCAUUAUGAGGGAAGAAAAGAUCUCAAAGGAAACCUGAUGACACUGACCCUUCAGCAAAAGAGGUGCUUGUAGCAUCUGCUAUUUGGUUCCUUAUGUACACUGGCAUUUAACUGGAGAACAUCAUUCAGAUGUGUGCACCUUGGACACGGCAUUAGUCAGUUAUUUCUGAAGGUAGAAAACAACUCAGUGGGACUAUAUAAUGCAUUUUGAUAUACUGAUAUAUAAAGCUACCCACAGAGUUCUAGUCUACUCCGAGUAGCCAAAGAUACUUCCUUAUUAACCUGAACAGCAAAAGCAACCAAAAAUUAAGUCUCUCUGGUUAGGAUUAUGGGAAUGUUACCCUGUUAAGUAUUCAAUAUGGUGGCUGGCUAAGCACUAAGACAGUAAUUAUUGUUCUCCAAGUCCUCAUGGUCUUGAUUCUCCAUUCUGUUGUACACUGUAAUCUUGCACAAUAUUCACAGCAAGCUAGAUUUGUUCUGCAGAGUGAUCAAGUUUGUAAAAGGGGAUCAUGCUUGACAGACAUCUACAAUAAUCCCAUGAUAAAGACUCAUUGCUUGUCCUGAAUUGCUGUUCUCUGCACUUUUUGGAUCAUUUACAGUUUCAGGGAUAACAAGAAUUUGCUGGGUGGAGGGGUGAAAUGAAAGGUGCUUG